This is a long non-coding RNA of Ipomoea triloba (trilobed morning glory), 343 nucleotides long. RefSeq lists it as uncharacterized. The record is from RefSeq and is a predicted model, not a curated record. The transcript has 2 exons. NCBI's taxonomy places the organism in Eukaryota, Viridiplantae, Streptophyta, Magnoliopsida, Solanales, Convolvulaceae.
AUGUGAUUGAGUGUCUCAACCCAGAUAAAGAUAUCAGAAGAUUUGAUGCAAAUUUGAGAUUGUUUCUCCAUUUCUUGAUAAUGAUAAAUGUCCCUUGACUACAAACAAUAUAAUACUUCAAUCAUGCUACUUAAGGAACACAGAAUGGGCUUGUGGGGUUGCUGUUUAUACAGGAAAUGAAAUGAAACAAAACUGGGCAUAAGUAGGGGCCAACCUGGAUGCAAAGAGAUGGAUAAUCGCACUACUUUAUCUUGUUUGCUACUCUAUUGAGGAUUUAAAGGGCCUAGCAGAGGAUUUGAAAAGCAUUAAUCUAGCCAAUGAAAUAUAAUUUUUUUUUGUUUUA